Molecule: long non-coding RNA, 7752 nt
Organism: Papaver somniferum (opium poppy)
Lineage: Eukaryota; Viridiplantae; Streptophyta; Magnoliopsida; Ranunculales; Papaveraceae
Exons: 4
Source: RefSeq, a predicted model, not a curated record
AUUUACUCCAGAAGAAACACCACCAACGAGUUUAUUUUCCCUAGGCCACUAAACCCUAAUCACCGAGCUUUUAGUAUCACGUUUUUUCUCCACUGCCUCAUCUCCUCCCUUUUCCUCUCUCUGUUCUCCUUAACUGUCUCUUAACUGUCUCUUUAAUUCCUAAGAUUUCUUCUUCGGAGAUCAUAUCUUCCUUGAUUGUUCAUUUUUGAUUUGGCUCUAAUUAUUGUUCAUUGUUUGCAGCGACGAUUUUCGUUGCUCUGGAUGUUCUUUACGGUAUACGGGCCGAGAUGAGUAAGAAGCAUUCACUAGAAAAAACAGAAGGUUACACAUCGAACAACUACUUGCUAAAAGAGCUUCAUUGUGGUGCAAUACUUUGGUAUCAAGAGAGUACUAAAAAAUCACGGGCUAAGGAGGAUUGCGAGUUUAGCCUAUGUUGCUUAAUGCAAUUCUAAGCUACUGCGUGAAGCUCCAAAAUUCAGUAUUUUUUUGUUAUUGACACAGUAUUUUUUUUCUUUCUAUUCUUCUACUUAAAGCUCCAUGAAUUUGUUGUUACACAUAUAUAUCACAAAUUCAGUUUAUUUAUGAGUUUUUCUUUCUCACAAAUUACAGAAGCCAGGAUAAUUAGUAGGUUCGUAAUUGGCGCAGGUGAAAUUUUCUCAUCUUAAUCUGCUCUGACUUUCGUUUUAUGUUGUUAUAGUUUCUGUUGGUCUUUUCCUGUAAUUUUUUGAUGGACAUAGAAAGGUUCAAAGAGAUUUGGUUUAAAUGAUGAAUAUGCAAAAUAUGUCAUACUAUUAACAAGGUAGGUUUUCCAUUAAUUUCUUGGAUGCUACCCCUAUUUGGAAAUGAUACAAUAAUGCCGGGAGUACAUGUUGAUUGUUGGUUGACGAUCAAUUGAUUUGAACUUAAAAUUCAAGAGUACGGCAUUAUCAGAACACUCACACGACAAGUCAGGAUGUGAAAAAUUCAACACAAGAUGAAUGACUUAAAAUGAAAAACGUACAUGCCGUAACCAUGUGGAUCCCUUGAAAACAAUACAACACUAAAAGAUAUCUGGAUUAUAAAUUUUUAUCAACAUAUUGUCCAAAUGCAAAUCUGAAGGAAACUUUGAAUGGAGAAGAAGAAUACAAAGAAGAUGGUCAUUACAUGAUUGAGAUAUGUAAGCAAUACUGAAUAUGGGGAUGCCCGCCCCAAAAAAUCAAAAACUGUUAAAGUCUUCUAAGUACUUGCUUUGGAUGGAAGAAUAAAAGACUAGAUGGAAAGGAAUAACUAAUCAGUUCAUCUGUUGGCAUGCUCAUAUUCUGGUAUGAUUAACAUCUUCAAGUAGCUUCCAGUUAAUUCUUCACUAUAUCUUGCUUUGGAUGGAAGAAUAAAAGACUAGAUGGAAAGGAAUAACUAAUCAGUUCAUAUGUUGGUAUAUGCUCAUAUUCUGAUAUGAUUAGCAUCUUCAAGUAGCUUCCAGUUUAUUCUUCAUUAUAUCUUUAUGUUUCCAAUUUUUCCUUAGUUGCAAAAUAAUUAACGUAAAUAUGUUACCAUUCAGAUAUUUGUUUUCAUCUAUUUCAAGAUCUUUUUGGUUAUGUUUUGAUAAAAUUGCUUUUCAAGAGCGAGCAGAAGUCUUAAAAUGUUUAAGAUGUUCUCAACGUCUUAAUUUUCUAAUUUUAAGAAUUAUUGGAAUUGGUAAGACACAUUUCUGCAAAGAUUCAUCUACUUAGAUUAGGGACAACCAAUCUGAGCCCGUGCAGAGCACGGGCGCAGCAACUAGUAUUUAUAUGUUGCGGUUUAAUCAGAAAGACGAUUGAGACGAAUAGAAAAAGAAGGUAAACAUUUGAUUUUUACGAUUUUUUUUCUUCUGUUAUUAUUGGUUCAGGUUGAUGUUUUAGUAUACUUUGACAAAUAUAUUAUGUUGCAAUUGAAUCAACGAAAAGCCUUGACCAUUAUGCCGUUGCUUGAUAUAAUCUGUGUUGAUGAGUGAUCAUGUUGCGUAGACAGUCAACGAUGGGCUUAAGUAAUUCAAUGUCGAGUUCGAUGGUAUAAAGAAGGUAAGGUUUCUUCUUUCUUCUAUGUGAUGCUUCUUCCAUUAAAAUUAAUACGCAACUCUAGGUUUUUCAAUGGUUGAAUUCAAAGAUCAGGUCAUACUAAAAUUUGACGGAUUUUUUGUGAAAGCUGAAAUGUUUCAUAUAUCACAAGGUUUGGUACUUCGGCUCACUAAGGUUUGAAUUGGAUUCCAGAAAUCGUCAACUCAUAGAGCACUAAGGGACUGCGUAGUUUGCAAUUCAAUUUGUAUCAAUUUACCAAGGUUUGGAUGAAUUCGUCAGUGGAUUCCAGAACUCACAAUUUACAGAACGCUUACAAUAGCAUGGUGAUUGCAUACCUUAGAGGUUAUCUUUUUUGACAUGAAUUAUAAAUUUUUUAUAUGAUUCUAGGUUUUUGUUGUUAUUUAGAAUUAUAGAAUUACUCCUUUUGAUGUGUUCUGAUAAGAUUUGUAAGAUUGUUGCAAUUUAAGGUCCUAGGUUUAGGCAAUGUCAGUAAAAAAGCUAUUUAGUUCUUCUAGAAUUUGUCCUUUUUUAUGAGUUUCUUAUUUCUUUUCUUUUUGUUUUUAUUUUCACUGCUGAACUGAUUAGAGUUAUUAACUUUUGAUUGAUGUCAUUGUGUUUUAAAUUUGAUAUGCUUUUGUUAGUUAGGUUAUUAACUGUGAGUUUCCGUGUUGUAGGCUGUACAUUUGGUUUUAUAAUUUUGUGAUCAAUUUAUGAUAUAUCCUUAUGGUUUUGUUAUUCAUGAAGUCUAGAGCCAACGAAAACUGAUGAUGAGUUUGAUUGAAUGGGUUUCAUGUUGAUUAUGUAUGCUCAUAUUCUGGUAUGAUUAGCAUCUUCAAGUAGCUUCCAGUUUAUUCUUCACUAUAUCUUGCUUUGGAUGGAAGAAUAAAAGACUAGAUGGAAAGGAAUAACUAAUCAGUUCAUAUGUUGGUAUAUGCCCAUAUUCUGAUAUGAUUAGCAUCUUCAAGUAGCUUCCAGUUUAUUCUUCAUUAUAUCUUUAUGUUUCCAGUUUUUCCUUAGUUGCAAAAUAAUUAAAGUAAAUAUGUUACCAUUCAGAUAUUUGUUUUCAUCUAUUUCAAGAUCUUUUUGGUUAUGUUUUGAUAAAAUUGCUUUUGAAGAGCAAGCGGAAGCCUUAAUAUGUUUAAGAUGUUCUCAACGUCUUAAUUUUCUACUUUUAAAAAUUAUUGGAAUUGGUAAGACACAUUUCUGCAAAGAUUCAUCUACUUAGAUUAGGGACAACCAAUCUGAGCCCGUGCAGAGCACGGGCGCAGCAACUAGUAUUUAUAUGUUGCGGUUUAAUCAGAAAGACGAUUGAGACGAAUAGAAAAAGAAGGUAAACAUUUGAUUUUUACGAUUUUUUUUCUUCUGUUAUUAUUGGUUCGGGUUGAUGUUUUAGUAUACUUUGACAGAUAUAUUAUAUUGCAAUUGAAUCAACGAAAAGCCUUGACCAUUAUGCCGUUGCUUGAUAUAAUCUGUGUUGAUGAGUGAUCAUGUUGCGUAGACAGUCAACGAUGGGCUUAAGUAAUUCAAUGUCGUGUUCGAUGGUAUAAAGAAGGUAAGGUUUCUGCUUUCUUCUAUGCGAUGCUUCUUCCAUUAAAAUUAAUACGCAACUCUAGGUUUUUCAAUGGUUGAAUUCAAAGAUCAGGUCAUACUAAAAUUUGACGGAUUUUUUGUGAAAGCUGAAAUGUUCCAUAUAUCACAAGGUUUGGUACUUCGGCUCACUAAGGUUUGAAUUGGAUUCCAGAAAUCGUCAACUCAUAGAGCACUAAGGGACUGCGUAGUUUGCAAUUCAAUUUAUAUCAGUUUACCAAGGUUUGGAUGAAUUCGUCAGUGGAUUCCAGAACUCACAAUUUACAGAACGCUUACAAUAGCAUGGUGAUUGCAUACCUUAGAGGUUAUCCUUUUUGACAUGAAUUAUAAAUUUUUUAUAUGAUUCUAGGUUUUUGUUGUUAUUUAGAAUUAUAGAGUUACUCCUUUUGAUGGGUUCUGAUAAGAUUUGUAAGAUUGUUGCAAUUUAAGGUUUUAGGUUUAGGCAAUGUCAGUAAAAAAGCUAUUUAGUUCUUCUAGAAUUUGUCCUUUUUUAUGAGUUUCUUAUUUCUUUUCUUUUUGUUUUUAUUUUCGCUGCUGAACUGAUUAGAGUUAUUAACUUUUGAUUGAUGUCAUUGUGUUUUAAAUUUGAUAUGCUUUUGUUAGUUAGGUUAUUAACUGUGAGUUUCCGUAUUGUAGGCUGUACAUUUGGUUUUAUAAUUUUGUGAUCAAUUUAUGAUAUAUCCUUAUGGUUUUGUUACUCAUGAAGUCUAGAGCCAACGAAAGCUGAUGAUGAGUUUGAUUGAAUGGGUUUCAUGUUGAUUAUGUAUGCUCAUAUUCUGGUAUGAUUAGCAUCUUCAAGUAGCUUCCAGUUUAUUCUUCACUAUAUAUUGCUUUGGAUGGAAGAAUAAAAGACUAGAUGGAAAGGAAUAACUAAUCAGUUCAUAUGUUGGUAUAUGCUCAUAUUUUGAUAUGAUUAGCAUCUUCAAGUAGCUUCCAGUUUAUUCUUCAUUAUAUCUUUAUGUUUCCAAUUUUUCCUUAGUUGCAAAAUAAUUAAAGUAAAUAUGUUACCAUUCAGGUAUUUGUUUUCAUCUAUUUCAAGAUCUUUUUGGUUAUGUUUUGAUAAAAUUGCUUUUGAAGAGCAAGCAGAAGUCUUAAAAUGUUUAAGAUGUUCUCAGCGUCUUAAUUUUUUACUUCUAAGAAUUAUUGGAAUUGGUAAGACACAUUUCUGCAAAGAUUCAUCUACUUAGAUUAGGGACAACCAAUCUGAGCCCGUGCAGAGCACGGGCGCAGCAACUAGUAUUUAUAUGUUGCGGUUUAAUCAGAAAGACGAUUGAGACGAAUAGAAAAAGAAGGUAAACAUUUGAUUUUUACGAUUUUUUUCUUCUGUUAUUAUUGGUUCAGGUUGAUGUUUUAGUAUACUUUGAUAGAUAUAUUAUGUUGCAAUUGAAUCAACGAAAAGCCUUGACCAUUAUGCCGUUGCUUGAUAUAAUCUGUGUUGAUGAGUGAUCAUGUUGCGUAGACAGUCAACGAUGGGCUUAAGUAAUUCAAUGUCGAGUUCGAUGGUAUAAAGAAGGUAAGGUUUCUUCUUUCUUCUAUGUGAUGCUUCUUCCAUUAAAAUUAAUACGCAACUCUAGGUUUUUCAAUGGUUGAAUUCAAAGAUCAGGUCAUACUAAAAUUAGACGGAUUUUUUGUGAAAGCUGAAAUGUUUCAUAUAUCACAAGGUUUGGUACUUCGGCUCACUAAGGUUUGAAUUGGAUUCCAGAAAUCGUCAACUCAUAGAGCACUAAGGGAAUGCGUAGUUUGCAAUUCAAUUUUAUAUCAGUUUACCAAGGUUUGGAUGAAUUCGUCAGUGGAUUCCAGAACUCACAAUUUACAGAACGCUUACAAUAGCAUGGUGAUUGCAUACCUUAGAGGUUAUCCUUUUUUGACAUGAAUUAUAAAUUUUUUAUAUGAUUCUAGGUUUUUGUUGUUAUUUAGAAUUAUAGAGUUACUCCUUUUGAUGGGUUCUGAUAAGAUUUGUAAGAUUGUUGCAAUUUAAGGUCCUAGGUUUAGGCAAUGUCAGUAAAAAAGCUAUUUAGUUCUUCUAGAAUUUGUCCUUUUUUUAUGAGUUUCUUAUUUCAUUUCUUUUUGUUUUUAUUUUCACUGCUGAACUGAUUAGAGUUAUUAACUUUUGAUUGAUGUCAUUGUGUUUUAAAUUUGAUAUGCUUUUGUUAGUUAGGUUAUUAACUGUGAGUUUCCAUAUUGUAGGCUAUACAUUUGGUUUUAUAAUUUUGUGAUCAAUUUAUGAUAUAUCCUUAUGGUUUUGUUAUUCAUGAAGUCUAGAGCCAACGAAAGCUGAUGAUGAGUUUGAUUGAAUGGGUUUCAUGUUGAUUAUGUAUGCUCAUAUUCUGGUAUGAUUAGCAUCUUCAAGUAGCUUCCAGUUUAUUCUUCACUAUAUCUUGCUUUGGAUGGAAGAAUAAAAGACUAGAUGGAAAGGAAUAACUAAUCUGUUCAUAUGUUGGUAUAUGCCCAUAUUCUGAUAUGAUUAGCAUCUUCAAGUAGCUUCCAGUUUAUUCUUCAUUAUAUCUUUAUGUUUCCAAUUUUUCCUUAGUUGCAAAAUAAUUAAAGUAAAUAUGUUACCAUUCAGAUAUUUGUUUUCAUCUAUUUCAAGAUCUUUUUGGUUAUGUUUUGAUAAAAUUGCUUUUGAAGAGCAAGCAGAAGUCUUAAAAUGUUUAAGAUGUUCUCAACGUCUUAAUUUUCUACUUUUAAGAAUUAUUGGAAUUGGUAAGACACAUUUCUGCAAAGAUUCAUCUACUUAGAUUAGGGACAACCAAUCUGAGCCCGUGCAGAGCACGGGCGCAUCAACUAGUAUUUAUAUGUUGCGGUUUAAUCAGAAAGACGAUUGAGACGAAUAGAAAAAGAAGGUAAACAUUUGAUUUUUACGAUUUUUUUUCUUCUGUUAUUAUUGGUUCAGGUUGAUGUUUUAGUAUAUUUUGACAGAUAUAUUAUGUUGCAAUUGAAUCAACGAAAAGCCUUGACCAUUAUGCCGUUGCUUGAUAUAAUCUGUGUUGAUGAGUGAUCAUGUUGCGUAGACAGUCAACGAUGGGCUUAAGUAAUUCAAUGUCGAGUUCGAUGGUAUAAAGAAGGUAAGGUUUCUGCUUUCUUCUAUGUGAUGCUUCUUCCAUUAAAAUUAAUACGCAACUCUAGGUUUUUCAAUGGUUGAAUUCAAAGAUCAGGUCAUACUAAAAUUUGACGGAUUUUUUGUGAAAGCUGAAAUGUUUCAUAUAUCACAAGGUUUGGUACUUCGGCUCACUAAGGUUUGAAUUGGAUUCCAGAAAUAGUCAACUCAUAAAGCACUAUGGGAAUGCGUAGUUUGCAAUUCAAUUUAUAUCAGUUUACCAAGGUUUGGAUGAAUUCGUCAGUGGAUUCCAGAACUCACAAUUUACAGAACGCUUACAAUAGCAUGGUGAUUGCAUACCUUAGAGGUUAUCCUUUUUGACAUGAAUUAUCAAUUUUUUAUAUGAUUCUAGGUUUUUGUUGUUAUUUAGAAUUAUAGAGUUACUCCUUUUGAUGGGUUCUGAUAAGAUUUGUAAGAUUGUUGCAAUUUAAGGUCCUAGGUUUAGGCAAUGUCAGUAAAAAAGCUAUUUAGUUCUUCUAGAAUUUGUCCUUUUUUAUGAGUUUCUUAUUUCUUUUCUUUUUGUUUUUAUUUUCACUGCUGAACUGAUUAGAGUUAUUAACUUUUGAUUGAUGUCAUUGUGUUUUAAAUUUGAUAUGCUUUUGUUAGUUAGGUUAUUAACUGUGAGUUUCCGUAUUGUAGGCUGUACAUUUGGUUUUAUAAUUUUGUGAUCAAUUUAUGAUAUAUCCUUAUGGUUUUGUUAUUCAUGAAGUCUAGAGCCAACGAAAGCUGAUGAUGAGUUUGAUUGAAUGGGUUUCAUGUUGAUUAUGUAUGCUCAUAUUCUGGUAUGAUUAGCAUCUUCAAGUAGCUUCCAGUUUAUUCUUCACUAUAUCUUGCUUUGGAUGGAAGAAUAAAAUACUAGAUGGAAAGGAAUAACUAAUCAGUUCAUAUGUUGGUAUAUGCUCAUAUUCUGAUAUGAUUAGCAUCUUCAAGUAGCUUCCAGUUUAUUCUUCAUUAUAUCUUUAUGUUUCCAAUUUUUCCUUAGUUGCAAAAUAACUAAAGUAAAUAUGUUACCAUUCAGAUAUUUGUUUUCAUCUA